Molecule: non-coding RNA, 539 nt
Organism: Zootermopsis nevadensis
Lineage: Eukaryota; Metazoa; Arthropoda; Insecta; Blattodea; Termopsidae
Source: RefSeq, a predicted model, not a curated record
GCUUGCUGUGUGAGUGGGGACUUAGCCGGGAUGGACGAGCGUCGUCGUGUCAGGGCGGCGGUCGAGCUAAGUCCCUUCUCCUCUCCGCUACCGCUCCGACGCCUCAAUCUGAUUUUACGGGUUCGCGAAGUCCACAUUCCGUCACUAUGAUCGCGCAAGUCAUUUGCCAGAGAGUCGCUCGAGGCGAACAGAGAAGAUGGCUGUGUCAAUGGCGUCGUAGAUGGCAGCAGCUCUGCGUCCUUGCGUGUUUUCUCCUGUGACUGAGGAGGACUCACGUCAACCUCAUCCUUCUUCUGCAAACAUUACACAAUACGUGCAAUACCGCUCAGUGGGACUUCAACAUUUUUUGUGGUGAUUUUAGGAACAUGGUUCUUAUAACGCUAAUGUAUUCUUUAAAACAACAAAAAUGCGUAAAAUGAAUGGAACGUGGUAAGGUUAUGUAUAUGCUCGUCUGCAUGUCUCAUGUCCCGAAGUAUCUCACAGUUUUUGAUAAUAUGGUGUAUGUACAUCUUCGAAAUAAAUCAUUUUCCAUGAUUUUA